GGAAGGCAGCAGGCGCGCAAACUUACCCUAAUCUCGAUUCGAGGAGGUAGUGACAAGAAUACCGAUGCGGGGACCCUACGGGUGCCGCGUUCGGAAUGAGUACGAUUCGAACCACCUAACGAGGAACGAUCGGAGGGCAAGUCUGGUGCCAGCAGCCGCGGUAAUUCCAGCUCCAAUAGCGUACGUUAAAGUUGCUGCAGUUAAAAAGCUCGUAGUUGAACGUUCGGGUCCGCGGGACGGGGCCGCCCCGCGAGGGACGGCGCCGCCCCGGGGGCUCGUGAUAUCUUAUCUCGCCGCCCGUCGCGAGGCGGACGGAGGGAUGGAUGAGGUUACCUGGAAAAAAUCGGGGCGAUCUAGGCGGGCGAACCUCGCCAACGAACGAUCGGACAUGGGAUAACGGAAGAGGGCGUCGGCUCGACUUCGUCGGUUCCUCGGGCCGAGGCACGUACGGUGAAUAGGGACGGUCGGGGCCGCCCGUACCGGGUCGUGAGAGGUGAAAUUCUAGGAUCGACCCGAGACGAACUGCCGCGAAAGCAUUCGGCAAGGACGC
RNAcentral lists this ribosomal RNA (550 nucleotides) under uncultured eukaryote. RNAcentral's name for it is "bacterial SSU rRNA". It matches the Rfam family "Eukaryotic small subunit ribosomal RNA", at positions 420 to 967 of the family's 1831-position model. The record is from RNAcentral.